RNAcentral lists this ribosomal RNA (253 nucleotides) under uncultured bacterium. RNAcentral's name for it is "partial 16S ribosomal RNA". It matches the Rfam family "Bacterial small subunit ribosomal RNA", at positions 524 to 776 of the family's 1533-position model. The record is from RNAcentral.
UACGUAGGGUGCAAGCGUUGUCCGGAAUUAUUGGGCGUAAAGAGCUUGUAGGCGGUUUGUCGCGUCUGCUGUGAAAUUUCGGGGCUCAACCCCGAACUUGCAGUGGGUACGGGCAGACUAGAGUGUGGUAGGGGAGACUGGAAUUCCUGGUGUAGCGGUGAAAUGCGCAGAUAUCAGGAGGAACACCGGUGGCGAAGUCGGGUCUCUGGGCCGAUACUGACGCUGAGGAGCGAAAGCGUGGGGAGCGAACAGG